UGUAACCGUACAUAAUGUAGUCAUAUUUAGUUUUGCAUUAAUAUUCAACUGACCCUAACCAAUUUCUAAAAACAACCGAUGCUCUCACUCAUAAAAAAACAGUUCAGGAUCCGUGUUAGGAUUCAAGAUCAGUCAAGUUCGCAAUCUGGGAGACUUGGACAUGAAUAAUAUAAGUGCAGUUCUUGAUGCUCCCCAUGGUUCUUGAUUGCGUCAUUCGUAAUUUUUGAAGUGAUAUUGUCAAUAUUUAAUACAUUGAUAAUAAUGUGGUUCUUGGUGCAUUCUUUCAUUCGACUCAAAAAUUUGUAAACUUAACCGAGUGAAUUUGUAUUUGUUACUGAAGUAGCAAACUCAAAUAUAUGAUCAACCUAGUCUUUAUGUUUUUAGUUUCCACCACCAGACUUUCUUUCACUACAACAAAUGUUUGAUUUUCUCUUCAAAUAAACUGUUGGAGUCGACAAUUAGAUGUGUUAAAUCUUGUGUCCACCUUUAGGAAAUAUGUGCCAACUUUACUAUUUGUAAGGUGACUAAGCAUAUAUGAUCUUCAUGAGUAAGUGAUUAGGCGCACCUCUGAAGAUUGUGCAUCCAUUGCCCGCCCCUUCCAUAGUCGAGUCCUAUCCAAGUGACCACAUUGUCCAUGCUGAUUUCUCAUCGACUGAGCUGAUUCAACCAUGUAGUGUUUGUUUCAAUGUAAAGGAAAUAAUGUACAUCCUAGUCUUGCUUAUUAAUUUUGAUUGGCUUUCCCUUGUGUUGGAUGUGGUUGGUGCAAAGAUCCAAAUGGGGGUUUGGUAGUUUCAUAUUUAUAUCCUACCAUGAAAGCGGUUACUCAAUUCUUUAGUGGAAAUAAACAUUUUUUAAUCAUUAUCUUGCCUCAUUUAUAUUGAUAUACCGUAAAUGCACUCUUUAAGAUCGUCGUACUGUGUCAGUGGUACAUGUUAUGUAUGUUUGCACUCUGUUUGACCCGAGGAUUUGCCCAAAACUUGUCAAAUUUUUAGUCACCAGGCUACAUGUUCAUGAGUUAUGUGCUAAUAUAUUAGCACUUUUGAGAACUAAAAAGCGCUAUUAAAUACCCCCUAAUAAAAACGCAAGAUUUUUUUUGUUUGUAGUGGUUCAACCAGAGUGUCUUAAGUUUUGUUAUGGAGGGAGUACUUUAUUAAAUCAAAGUUGAGACCGAGAUCAACAAGAAAUAAAAUAUCCAUGUGCCAUCCUCUGAGUCAGAAUGAUGUCUCAAAUUUGAGUAGCCUGCAUGUACUCUUUAAAUGGCCUUACUAGAGCUAUGUGCAGUGCGUGCCCAUGUUGAUCCACAUAAUAAUAGUUUUCAUGUGUGACGGUGCCAAAGUACCAAAGUAGGCACACAACCAGUAUAGAGAUUGAUCGAAGUGGCAAAUUUAUGAGACUAGAAAAUAUCAUGCGUAUCUAUAUGCCGAUGUGGGAAAGGGAGGCACCGGAAUUAACGUUAACGGUCCUUGUAAUAUUAUAUCAAUUGAUGUCUUCAAGGUUGCACUAGUUGAAGUUAAUGGUCCAUGUAGUAUUAUAUCAAUUGAUGUACUCAAGGUUGCACUAAUAUUGAUGGGCGGAUGGUGUGAGUAGUAUACCUCGACGUCGUGCUUAGGGAAUGGAUGUGCACCUACACCCAGGAGCACCCACACCUUUCUCAUUGACAUAUCCAUUUAGUUACAAAUGUCACUAGAGCUAUCACAUUUGCACUUGUCAUUUUGUAGAAAAGGGACUGCAUUUCCACAUUGUUACCUAUACAUCUCUAGUUGUCCAGACCCAACUUUUUUUGUACGGAUGAGUUACUUCAUUAAUCUACUAGCUUCCAUGAGUAGCACCAGAGGACAUCUACUAGAAAUUGAGUAACAAAAAGGGUAUAGCUCUAAAGAGUUUUAACACAUUGCCAAGACUCUAGGCUAAUGAGUAAGAAAAAACCAUAAUUACAUUGGUUAGCUAUUUCACUCAAAAUCAUACUAGGGGGUCAUAAGGCAUCGACUAGGCACAAUGGCUCAACUUACAUACGCGAUAUAUAUCGGAGAUGAACUUGUUAUUAUCUCCUAACAUUAGUUUACGCGAAUAAUAAUGUAAUGAUUCAGUAAAAAACAUAAACAUGGAAGCAUGAAAACUAUUCAUAAUAAUGAUUAAGUUUAUGUUUUUAGUUCCUCUAUCAAUUGGAAAUGAUCAUAAUCAAAUUAUUACCAUAUCCAUUUUCUAGGAAUUCAAGGGUCAUAAUAUGCAUGCAUGGAGACAAAACAUAAACCAACUACAUGCAUGCCCUUAUUAUUUUAGUGAUUCAAUCUUGGGGCCAGUCAGCUACAAGAAUGCACAUGCAUGAACAUAUAGUUUGUCCAAACAAAACAGUGUGACCCUAUCUAUGAAAAGAUUGUGAUUUGAACGAUACAAUAUUAGGGCAUCCCAUCUAAAAUAACCAAGAAACAAGGCUUAUAAAGAUAUACACAUGUUCUGAAUUAGUGUAGAAUAAUUUUGGCAGAUGGCAAUGAUGAAUGCACCACAUUGUUUUAUAAUCUAUUGGAUGUCAUGGAAGACAAUGGAGUGAAGGGUGGUGCACAAAGUUAUUUCAUUAGCGAUGGUAGUGAUUAGCAACACCAUUGUUUUACCCAGGUUCAAGCCCCUAGGUUGUUAGAAACCUCAAGUCCCGCUUAUGGUGUGUAUUGAUCAAUAGGAGAAUUACAUAUAUAAGCCACCGAGCAUGCUAUGUUUUCUAUGUCAUCACUUACAUACAAUGUGCCAUUUGUGAUCAUUAUGUACUAUGAAGUCGUUGGGAAAAGGAGGCAUCAUGAAUUCACGUUUGGGAUGUUGAGAUAAUCUUCACUCUUUUGGCUUAAUCAAUCAAAACACAACUUGAAUGAGCAACAAAGUGCAAUGGCUUGGUGUCACAUGCCACAACAACUCUAUCUAGUUUCAGAAGAGAAUUAUCCCAAGACACUUCAAGAGUCGGGAUUUCUGCAUCAUAUAUUAGGCUUUUGGAAGGGCAACAUACCUUCUGUUUAACUUGUGCAUUAUAAUUUUAAACGUGCAAUAUGUAACACUGAUGGGGAGAUCCUCUUUGAUAGACAUACUAAUAAUUUGAUCAUAAAAUUAGCAAAAACGAUGAAAGAUAAACUUAUCUUACCAAAUAUUUUUUGACAUCUAGGAGUGCAAAGGAGUUUUUCACAAAUUAACUUUCAAUCAUUAACAUGUACUUAGUUUUUGUAUUUAAAUAUCUAAUCGUGCGAGAUCGAAUCAAUAAUAGAUUCCCUAUAUAUCACCUUUGUGUAUUUCAUUUUUUAUUUUCUCUUUAAACCUACUUGAUAAUGUACAUUAACAUAGUUUUGCGAGAGUGAACA
This 3338-nucleotide long non-coding RNA is filed under the name Hordeum vulgare. RNAcentral describes it as "long non-coding RNA (HVUL_LNC020076)". The record is from RNAcentral. Lineage: Eukaryota; Viridiplantae; Streptophyta; Magnoliopsida; Poales; Poaceae.